Molecule: ribosomal RNA, 270 nt
Filed under: uncultured bacterium
Lineage: Bacteria
Description: partial 16S ribosomal RNA
Rfam family: Bacterial small subunit ribosomal RNA
Source: RNAcentral
AACGAACGCUGGCGGCGUGCCUAACACAUGCAAGUCGAGCGAGAAAGGGGCUUCGGCUCCGAGUAAAGCGGCGCACGGGUGCGUAACACGUGGGUAAUCUUCCUCCGGGUUGGGAAUAACUCUUCGAAAGGAGAGCUAAUACCGAAUAAGCCCACGUCUCCUUCGGGGGAUGUGGGAAAAGGUGGCCUCUGCAUGCAAGCUAUCGCCUGGAGAUGAGCCCGCGGCCCAUCAUGCUAGUUGGCGGGGUAACGGCCCACCAAGGCUACGACG